This 495-nucleotide ribosomal RNA is filed under the name uncultured bacterium. RNAcentral describes it as "partial 16S ribosomal RNA". It matches the Rfam family "Bacterial small subunit ribosomal RNA", at positions 28 to 507 of the family's 1533-position model. The record is from RNAcentral.
GACGAACGCUGGCGGCGUGCCUAAUACAUGCAAGUAGAACGCUGAAGGAGGGGCUUGCUUCUCCGGAUGAGUUGCGAACGGGUGAGUAACGCGUAGGUAACCUGCCUGGUAGCGGGGGAUAACUAUUGGAAACGAUAGCUAAUACCGCAUAAGAGUAGAUGUCGCAUGACAUUUGCUUAAAAGGUGCAACUGCACCACUACCAGAUGGACCUGCGUUGUAUUAGCUAGUUGGUGAGGUAACGGCUCACCAAGGCAACGAUACAUAGCCGACCUGAGAGGGUGAUCGGCCACACUGGGACUGAGACACGGCCCAGACUCCUACGGGAGGCAGCAGUAGGGAAUCUUCGGCAAUGGACGGAAGUCUGACCGAGCAACGCCGCGUGAGUGAAGAAGGGUUUCGGAUCGUAAAGCUCUGUUGUAAGAGAAGAACGAGUGUGAGAGUGGAAAGUUCACACUGUGACGGUAUCUUACCAGAAAGGGACGGCUAACUACGUG